GACGAACGCUGGCGGCGUGCCUAAUACAUGCAAGUCGAGCGGACUUUCAAGAAGCUUGCUUUUUGAAAGUUAGCGGCGGACGGGUGAGUAACACGUGGGCAACCUGCCUGCAAGACGGGGAUAACUCCGGGAAACCGGGGCUAAUACCGGAUAAUAUCUUCCUUCGCAUGAAGGAAGGUUGAAAGGCGGCGCAAGCUGCCGCUUGCAGAUGGGCCCGCGGCGCAUUAGCUAGUUGGUGAGGUAACGGCUCACCAAGGCGACGAUGCGUAGCCGACCUGAGAGGGUGAUCGGCCACACUGAGACUGAGACACGGCCCAGACUCAUACGGGAGGCAGCAGUAGGGAAUCUUCCGCAAUAGACGAAAGUCUGACGGAGCAACGCCGCGUGAGCGAAGAAGGUCUUCGGAUCGUAAAGCUCUGUUGUCAGGGAAGAACAAGUACCGUUCGAAGAGGGCGGUACCUUGACGGUACCUGACCAGAAAGCCACGGCUAACUACGUG
Molecule: ribosomal RNA, 499 nt
Filed under: uncultured bacterium
Lineage: Bacteria
Description: partial 16S ribosomal RNA
Rfam family: Bacterial small subunit ribosomal RNA
Source: RNAcentral